RNAcentral lists this ribosomal RNA (253 nucleotides) under uncultured bacterium. RNAcentral describes it as "partial 16S ribosomal RNA". It matches the Rfam family "Bacterial small subunit ribosomal RNA", at positions 524 to 776 of the family's 1533-position model. The record is from RNAcentral.
UACGUAGGUGGCGAGCGUUAUCCGGAGUUACUGGGCGUAAAGCGCACGCAGGCGGUCUAAUAAGUUUGGUGUAAAAACUUUCGGCUUAACCGGGAGACGUCGCUGAAUACUGUUGGACUUGAAGCAAUGAGAGGAGUGCAGAAUUCCUGGUGUAGUGGUAAAAUGCGUAGAGAUCAGGAGGAAUAUCUGAGGCGAAAGCGGCACUCUGGCAUUAGCUUGACGCUCAUGUGCGAAAGCGUGGGUAGCGAACGGG